GAUACCUUUAAUUCAGUCCCGUGAGGCUGACAAGGACAGCGGAAUGUAUGAUCUUUAUAGGGAUACGUGUGUAUAUGUACGUGUACCUAUUGUUUACCUAUGAUCGUAAACGGCUUAUUGUCAGGGCAACUGGGCAAUAGGCCUUUUUUAU
This 151-nucleotide small RNA is filed under the name Paenibacillus alvei. Its description in RNAcentral is "PyrR". It matches the Rfam family "PyrR binding site". Rfam says of the family: This family represents the PyrR binding site and terminator structure. This RNA structure is found upstream of a variety of genes involved in pyrimidine biosynthesis and transport. Lineage: Bacteria; Bacillati; Bacillota; Bacilli; Caryophanales; Paenibacillaceae. The record is from RNAcentral.